RNAcentral lists this unclassified non-coding RNA (377 nucleotides) under plant metagenome. RNAcentral describes it as "partial contains 5.8S ribosomal RNA, internal transcribed spacer 2, and large subunit ribosomal RNA". The stretch from base 1 to 104 matches the Rfam family "5.8S ribosomal RNA", at positions 51 to 154 of the family's 154-position model. The record is from RNAcentral.
AAAUGCGAUAAGUAAUGUGAAUUGCAGAAUUCAGUGAAUCAUCGAAUCUUUGAACGCACCUUGCGCUCCUUGGUAUUCCUUGGAGCAUGCCUGUUUGAGUAUCAUGAAAUCUUCAAAGUAAAUCUUUUGUUAACUCAAUUGGUUUCUACUUUGGUAUUGGAGGUCUUUGCAGCUUCACACCUGCUCCUCUUUGUUCAUUAGCUGGAUCUCAGUGUUAUGCUUGGUUCCACUCGGCGUGAUAAGUUAUCUAUCGCUGAGGACACUGUAAAAGGUGGCCAAGGUAAAUGCAGAUGAACCGCUUCUAAUAGUCCAUUGACUUGGACAAUACUUUUAUGAUCUGAUCUCAAAUCAGACAAGGAUACCCGCUGAACUUAAGC